GACGAACGCUGGCGGCGUGCUUAACACGUGCAAGUCGAACGGAAAGGCUCCAGCUUGCUGGAGUACUCGAGUGGCGAACGGGUGAGUAACACGUGGGUAAUCUGCCCUGCACUCUGGGAUAAGCCUGGGAAACUGGGUCUAAUACUGGAUAUGACCUUUCUCCUUAUGGGGUUUGGUGGAAAGUUUUUCGGUGUAGGAUGAGCCCGCGGCCUAUCAGCUUGUUGGUGGGGUGAUGGCCUACCAAGGCGACGACGGGUAGCCGGCCUGAGAGGGUGAUCGGCCACAUUGGGACUGAGAUACGGCCCAGACUCCCACGGGAGGCAGCAGUGGGGAAUAUUGCACAAUGGGCGGAAGCCUGAUGCAGCGACGCCGCGUGAGGGAUGACGGCCUUCGGGUUGUAAACCUCUUUCAGCAGGGACGAAGCGUAAGUGACGGUACCUGCAGAAGAAGCACCGGCUAACUAUGUG
Molecule: ribosomal RNA, 467 nt
Filed under: uncultured bacterium
Lineage: Bacteria
Description: partial 16S ribosomal RNA
Rfam family: Bacterial small subunit ribosomal RNA
Source: RNAcentral